GACGAACGCUGGCGGCGUGCCUAAUACAUGCAAGUAGAACGCACAGGAUGCACCGUAGUUUACUACACCGUAUUCUGUGAGUUGCGAACGGGUGAGUAACGCGUAGGUAACCUGCCUGGUAGCGGGGGAUAACUAUUGGAAACGAUAGCUAAUACCGCAUAAGAACAUUUACUGCAUGGUAGAUGUUUAAAAGGUGCAAAUGCAUCACUACCAGAUGGACCUGCGUUGUAUUAGCUAGUAGGUGAGGUAACGGCUCACCUAGGCGACGAUACAUAGCCGACCUGAGAGGGUGAUCGGCCACACUGGGACUGAGACACGGCCCAGACUCCUACGGGAGGCAGCAGUAGGGAAUCUUCGGCAAUGGGGGGAACCCUGACCGAGCAACGCCGCGUGAGUGAAGAAGGUUUUCGGAUCGUAAAGCUCUGUUGUUAAGGAAGAACGAGUGUGAGAAUGGAAAGUUCAUACUGUGACGGACUAACCAGAAAAGGACGG
Molecule: ribosomal RNA, 492 nt
Filed under: Streptococcus intermedius
Lineage: Bacteria; Bacillati; Bacillota; Bacilli; Lactobacillales; Streptococcaceae
Description: bacterial SSU rRNA
Rfam family: Bacterial small subunit ribosomal RNA
Source: RNAcentral